GACUACGUGGCGCAAUGGUAGAGCGUCUGACUCCAGAUCAGAAGGUUGCGUGUUCAAAUCAAGUCGGGGUAG
RNAcentral lists this transfer RNA (72 nucleotides) under Nematostella vectensis (starlet sea anemone). It matches the Rfam family "tRNA". From Rfam's summary of the family: Transfer RNA (tRNA) molecules are approximately 80 nucleotides in length. Their secondary structure includes four short double-helical elements and three loops (D, anti-codon, and T loops). The record is from Rfam by way of RNAcentral. Lineage: Eukaryota; Metazoa; Cnidaria; Anthozoa; Actiniaria; Edwardsiidae.